CCUGGGCUCAACCCRGGAAGUGCACUGGAUACUGGCAGACUUGAAUACGGGAGAGGGUAGUGGAAUUCCUGGUGUAGGAGUGAAAUCCGUAGAUAUCANGAGGAACRCCGGUGGCGAAGGCGGCUGCCUNGACCGAUAUUGACGCUGAGACGCGAAAGCGUGGGUAGCAAACAGGAUUAGAUACCCUGGUAGUCCACGCCGUAAACGAUGAGUACUAGGUGUUGCGGGUAUUGACCCCUGCAGUGCCRCAGCUAACGCAUUAAGUACUCCGCCKGGRAAGUACGGUCGCAA
Molecule: ribosomal RNA, 291 nt
Filed under: uncultured Eubacterium sp.
Lineage: Bacteria; Bacillati; Bacillota; Clostridia; Eubacteriales; Eubacteriaceae
Description: partial 16S ribosomal RNA
Rfam family: Bacterial small subunit ribosomal RNA
Source: RNAcentral